CAGAGAGUUUCAAAGAAAAGACCCAAGCUAUUCCACAGAGAAAUAUAUUCUAAGCUGACUGGAGAUCUCAACAGGCCAUUUGACUUACACAGCAGGUGUUAAAGGUCAUCUGUCAUAGAUCCCCUUUUGUGGUGCAAAGCACUCUCAGAUGAAAUGGCUCUGCUACAAGUGAAGGGUCUGUCCUCAGGGAAUAGUACAUAGACAAAAGAACUGAAUUAGCUUUCAAUUUGAAGCUAAAUAUUACAAAGGGAAACAUCUGGGCUACAAAGUAUAAGGAAACUCCAAGGAGAGGAAACAACAAAUACCCUGGAGGCAGAUUCUCUAUUCAGAAGCCUGAAUUGUGCUGCUUUGCUGCUAAAAUCCAUUCUUUUCAAAGUCUAUAUGCAGAAAUUGCAUGUGCAUGAAUAAAAACAGGCCAAGAUAAUAUAAUCCUCUAAUAAUGUCCCCUACCAGAGACAACCCACUUCUCAGUUCUGAGCGUGCUAACCACUUGGCAACACAACAGUAUACCUCUGUGAUGCCAGGCAAGUAUUAUGCGUGUUUAGAUUGAGGAAUUACAUUCCAAAGAAUAUUUAACCUCAAGGAAAAUCAAUACCAAACGAGUUUGUUCAGCUGUGUAUCUGCCACAGUAAUACUUCACCGUAUUGGCAACUGGGGACCAAUUAGUUUCCUGCAACUGGGUAUGUUUUGAUCUACUCAGAUUCUGGGGCACCACUUCUAUCCAAUACUGUGCUGUUGAAAAAAUGCUCUCUAACGCUGAUCCAUUUCUGCACAGCAGAACUGACCCUUUUUUUUUUUUUUUGGCGCAUUACCUUAUUCAGAAACUAAAGCUACAGUCAGGAAUUUGAAAUAGAGUAUGUGAUACAACA
Gavialis gangeticus (Gharial) is the source of this 869-nucleotide long non-coding RNA. RefSeq lists it as uncharacterized. The transcript is spliced from 2 exons. Lineage: Eukaryota; Metazoa; Chordata; Crocodylia; Gavialidae. The record is from RefSeq and is a predicted model, not a curated record.